Molecule: ribosomal RNA, 483 nt
Filed under: Odontotermes hainanensis
Lineage: Eukaryota; Metazoa; Arthropoda; Insecta; Blattodea; Termitidae
Description: partial 16S ribosomal RNA
Rfam family: Bacterial large subunit ribosomal RNA
Source: RNAcentral
AAAAACAUCUUUUCUUGUUAGUUUCUGAAGUAUGGCCUGCCCGCUGACGUAUUUUGAGUUGAAGGGCCGCGGUAUUUUGACCGUGCAAAGGUAGCAUAGUCAUUAGUUCUUUAAUUGUGAUCUGGUAUGAAUGGCUUGACGAGACAUGGGCUGUCUUGAUUGUGGAUUUAUUGUUGAAUUUGGAGUUUAAGUUAAAAUUCUUAGAUGUUUUUAUGGGACGAGAAGACCCUAUAGAGUUUAACAUUUGAUUGUGUAUUUCUUAUUGUUUGUUUUGAAUUUUUGCGUAUCUUUUGUUUUGUUGGGGUGAUGGGAGGAAUUUAUUUAACUCCUCUUUUAUGUAGUAUAUUGAUUUAUAUUUGUUUUGAUCCAUUUAUUUUGAUUGUAAGAUUAAAUUACCUUAGGGAUAACAGCGUUAUCUUCCCUGAGAGUUCUUAUUGGCGGGGGGGUUUGCGACCUCGAUGUUGGAUUAAGGUUAAUUUUUGG